CUACGGGCCGCAGCAGUCGAGAAUCUUCGGCAAUGGACGAAAGACUGACCGAGCGACGCCGCGUGCGGGAUGAAGGCCUUCGGGUUGUAAACCGCUGUCAGAGGGAAGGAAAUUUUGACCGAUCCUCAAAGGAAGUACGGGCUAAGUUCGUGCCAGCAGCCGCGGUAAGACGAACCGUACAAACGUUAUUCGGAAUCACUGGGCUUAAAGGGUGCGUAGGUGGUCUAUUAAGUUGGGUGUGAAAUCCCUCGGCUCAACCGAGGAACUGCGCUCAAUACUGGUAGACUUGAGGGAGAUAGAGGUGAGCGGAACUGAUGGUGGAGCGGUGAAAUGCGUUGAUAUCAUCGGGAACACCUGUGGCGAAAGCGGCUCACUGGAUCUCUUCUGACACUGAGGCACGAAAGCUAGGGGAGCGAACGGGAUUAGAUACCCCCGUAGUC
Molecule: ribosomal RNA, 440 nt
Filed under: uncultured bacterium
Lineage: Bacteria
Description: partial 16S ribosomal RNA
Rfam family: Bacterial small subunit ribosomal RNA
Source: RNAcentral